This 1573-nucleotide long non-coding RNA is filed under the name Helianthus annuus (common sunflower). Its description in RNAcentral is "hypothetical non coding rna". Lineage: Eukaryota; Viridiplantae; Streptophyta; Magnoliopsida; Asterales; Asteraceae. The record is from RNAcentral.
UGUUCAACAAUUCACAUAACCUACAAUACCUUCUUCCAUAUCUAUUCUGUAAGCCUUAUCUUUGGAUUCAAAAUCUCAAAUUAAAUCUCUCAAACGAACAAACCGAUAUUGUUGGGCGACUACGAUCGUUCAACCAAUUUAUAUCUAUUCAGACUUUUUCUUUAUUCACAAAACCCACAAUCUCAUCAGCACCUCUAUAAUUUUUUCGAUCACUUGUGCUACUCCGCCACUACGCCACCUCGGGGUAUCGACUACGUUUUCUAAGUGUCCGAUUGGGUUCAGACCCACCAUUCAGCAACCGUCAUACUCCGCGACCAUCUCGUGUGAUUCUCAUUCCGUCCGAUUCAUUCCGACUCACGCCCAGGUACCGGUAAUUUACUUAUUAUCUUCUUUCGAGUCAUGCUUUGAUGCAAAUAAUCUAAUAUGGAAGUUAUUCUUUUGAUCCGGUGACGAAGUAGCCGAACGCAAACCGUGAAUCACCGUUGCCGUGCAUCUCAGCUGUGUUCCGUUUGUCUACCGCUGUUGCGACUCUAGUUUCACCCUUAUUGCUAUUUCUGUUCAGCCUCCGCAACCAUUUGCCGCCACGGACCUGUUCACUGUCGUCUCCUCGAGACUCGUUUCUGAUUAAUCGCAACCAACGACUCCCUGUCACCUGUUUAAUUCGACUUAUUAUUCAGGUUAGCAAACCAAACCGUCUUUAGAUUUGAAAAAUACUUGUGUGAAUUAUGGUUCGUUACGAAUUCUGGCGACUGCAGAUCUAAUCUUAAUCUGACGGGGGAAUGGAAUGUAUGAGGUAAUGGAAUGGACGGGGGAAUGGAAUGUAUGAGAAAAGAAUAGACGAAGUAAUAAAAUCGGUGAUGAGCGACGGUAGUCGGUGGUGAUAGGUGGCAAUGGUAGCGAUGGUCGGAGGUGGUGGCAGUAGGUGGCGGUGGUGGGUGGUGGCGAGUGACGGCGGGGGCGGAGGUGUGGAUGGUGGGUGACGGUUGGUAGCAGCGGAGGUGGGUGACGACUGGGGUUAAGGUGGGUGGUGGCGGUAAACAGCUGGGGUGGAGGUGGGUGGUGGUGGUGGCGGCGAAAGUGGGUGACGGCGGCGACGGUAGUCACGGCAGCAGCUAUGGUAGUAGUGGUGUCGCCCGUGAGUAAGUUAUUAAAACCAAUAAUAAUAAUAAUAAUAAUAAUAAUAUAUUUUCAUUCCUUGAAGGAAUGAAAAAAAAACACCACCUUACUAAGGAAUGAAAAUUGUUAUAUUUGGAAGGUUUACAUUCCUUGUGGAAUGCUCCAUUCUAUUACCACUUGACAACCAAACAUGUUUCUUUUCAUUCCAAUAGAAUGAUCCAUUCCAUUCCGCUUUCUAUUCCUUCGUACCAAACGCUACCUUAAGUUUUAUUUCAUGUCUAGUAUAGUCAUCUGUAAUAGUUUUAAUUUUGGGUAUCCUUUAACAGUUGACUUAUCUAGUCAAAAUUAAAAUAAGAGUCUAUACGCAAUGAAGCCUCAAGUCUUCUUCUGUUAGAUAAGUAAAAAACAACCAUUUUUUUUAUUACCCAUGUGAUCUCUAAAUUGAAGAAGUAUCCAU